ACGGAGGGUGCAAGCGUUAAUCGGAAUUACUGGGCGUAAAGCGCACGCAGGCGGUCUGUCAAGUCGGAUGUGAAAUCCCCGGGCUUAACCUGGGAACUGCAUUCGAAACUGGCAGGCUGGAGUCUCGUAGAGGGGGGUAGAAUUCCAGGUGUAGCGGUGAAAUGCGUAGAUAUCGGGAGGAACACCUGUGGCGAAAGCGGCGCACUGGACCAUAACUGACGCUGAGGCGCGAAAGCUAGGGGAGCAAACAGGA
This 253-nucleotide ribosomal RNA is filed under the name uncultured prokaryote. RNAcentral's name for it is "partial 16S ribosomal RNA". It matches the Rfam family "Bacterial small subunit ribosomal RNA", at positions 525 to 777 of the family's 1533-position model. The record is from RNAcentral.